UUAUUGUGUGGGCUCCCACUCAUUAGUUCACCAUAUCUGAAACAGCCCAUGUGGAGAUAAGAGCUUUGAACCUUUUCUUAAAAUGAAAAGACCAAUCGGCACAUGCAAACUACUCAAUUUGAAAAUAAUCGAAAAUGAUGCAGCAUUUGAACUGUGUCUCGAGAUAAAGCUCUCUGCAUCCUCGCCGUGGCUCACGUUUUCAAUUCAAAAAAUAUAUUAUCAAGUGGAAAAAACUUUAUGAUUUAUAAGUUGAAGAUCAUUUUAUCUGUUUUUAGAAUGGGAUUUGUUACAAUUUUCUCCAUUUUACAUUGAUUAUUUCACCCGCAAAACAAGAAUCCAUCUUGAUGCGAGCUUAUCUAGAUACUGAUAUCUAUCCAACCAAAACCACAUUAACUCUUUCACCCGCAAACAAAAAAAUCCACCUUAAUUUGAAGCCAACAGUAUUAGUUGUCUAAGACCGUUGAUUCUAAAGCAGUAAGUCCUCAUUGUAACUGAUAUGGGAUUGGUGGCGGCUGCAAGGAAGCUGUAACUUCAAGACUUCAGGUCAAAUCAUUUUGAAAGUAGAGACAUGAAACCACUAUCGAAAAUUCUUUCAAACUAGUAUUGAUGCCUUGGGAGGACACUUUAGUCAUGCUAUGAGAUUCUUUUUUUUUUUUUUUAAUGUUGGACCUUGGAUCAAUAUUGAGGGAUUUCAAGUCCCUGUUAAGCAUUAAGACAUCAAUUUUAUUAAUUUGGUGAAACAAUAAUUUUUUAAAAGAAAAUCUGAAUACAAACUAAUAAAGUAAGUCAUGAUUGGAAGAUCCAAACGAAAAAUGACAGAUGAAUAGAUUUGGAAUCUACCAAGGAACAGUAAUAAACAGCAAAUCUUGCCACUUGAAACAGGAUGACAAGGAGAAGAUUUCUAACCUUUUCUCUUUUUCAUUGAAAUAUUUACCGUGCAACUUGUGACCCAAAGAUUGAAUCUGCUAGGUGGUAGUUAUGGGGGUUUAAUGGAAGAGCAAAUAUAAUCACUUUGAUUCUAGUUUUUUGUCCAGUAUAAGAAAAUCUUACGAGCUUCAAAAUCUAGAUUCAAACUCCAUUAGUUGAGAGAGUUUGAUCUUAUCUUCUAACUUAUUGAUCAAGAAUGUGAGCACUCAGGACAAGGAGUGAUUAGUUCAUUG
This 1160-nucleotide long non-coding RNA is filed under the name Durio zibethinus. RNAcentral's name for it is "long non-coding RNA (DZIB_LNC000333)". Lineage: Eukaryota; Viridiplantae; Streptophyta; Magnoliopsida; Malvales; Malvaceae. The record is from RNAcentral.